Molecule: ribosomal RNA, 634 nt
Filed under: Escherichia coli
Lineage: Bacteria; Pseudomonadati; Pseudomonadota; Gammaproteobacteria; Enterobacterales; Enterobacteriaceae
Description: partial 23S ribosomal RNA
Rfam family: Bacterial large subunit ribosomal RNA
Source: RNAcentral
ACCUUUUGUAUAAUGGGUCAGCGACUUAUAUUCUGUAGCAAGGUUAACCGAAUAGGGGAGCCGAAGGGAAACCGAGUCUUAACUGGGCGUUAAGUUGCAGGGUAUAGACCCGAAACCCGGUGAUCUAGCCAUGGGCAGGUUGAAGGUUGGGUAACACUAACUGGAGGACCGAACCGACUAAUGUUGAAAAAUUAGCGGAUGACUUGUGGCUGGGGGUGAAAGGCCAAUCAAACCGGGAGAUAGCUGGUUCUCCCCGAAAGCUAUUUAGGUAGCGCCUCGUGAAUUCAUCUCCGGGGGUAGAGCACUGUUUCGGCAAGGGGGUCAUCCCGACUUACCAACCCGAUGCAAACUGCGAAUACCGGAGAAUGUUAUCACGGGAGACACACGGCGGGUGCUAACGUCCGUCGUGAAGAGGGAAACAACCCAGACCGCCAGCUAAGGUCCCAAAGUCAUGGUUAAGUGGGAAACGAUGUGGGAAGGCCCAGACAGCCAGGAUGUUGGCUUAGAAGCAGCCAUCAUUUAAAGAAAGCGUAAUAGCUCACUGGUCGAGUCGGCCUGCGCGGAAGAUGUAACGGGGCUAAACCAUGCACCGAAGCUGCGGCAGCGACACUAUGUGUUGUUGGGUAGGGGAGCG